Molecule: non-coding RNA, 29 nt
Filed under: Homo sapiens (human)
Lineage: Eukaryota; Metazoa; Chordata; Mammalia; Primates; Hominidae
Source: RNAcentral
UGGCUCACUGCAACCUCCUCUUCCCAAGC